UUUUUAUCCAAUAAUGAUGUAAUAUUGUCGAAUAAUUACGGCUUGUUGUCUUUUACAUAAUCUCAUUAAAGGGAGGGAUCCACUAGAGCAUGAAAUUAACGAAAUUGAAGAGACAAAAAAUGUGAAAGAAUGUGAUAUGGUGGGCACCGUUAGAGCAUUUGAUGAAUAGCCUUGCAAAUGUAUAAUGAGUGGCAAGGAAAUGAGAAUAACUAGCAAACUCCUGUUG
This 226-nucleotide long non-coding RNA is filed under the name Prunus persica (peach). RNAcentral describes it as "long non-coding RNA (PPER_LNC002141)". The record is from RNAcentral. Lineage: Eukaryota; Viridiplantae; Streptophyta; Magnoliopsida; Rosales; Rosaceae.